UACGUAGGGUGCGAGCGUUAAUCGGAAUUACUGGGCGUAAAGUGUGCGCAGGCGGCCGCGCAAGUCGAGUGUGAAAGCCCCGAGCUUAACUUGGGAAUUGCGCUCGAAACUACGUGGCUGGAGUGUGGCAGAGGAAGGUGGAAUUCCAGGUGUAGCGGUGAAAUGCGUAGAGAUCUGGAGGAACACCGAUGGCGAAGGCAGCCUUCUGGGCCAACACUGAUGCUCAUGCACGAAAGCGUGGGGAUCAAACAGG
RNAcentral lists this ribosomal RNA (253 nucleotides) under uncultured bacterium. Its description in RNAcentral is "partial 16S ribosomal RNA". It matches the Rfam family "Bacterial small subunit ribosomal RNA", at positions 524 to 776 of the family's 1533-position model. The record is from RNAcentral.